AGAGUUUGAUCCUGGCUCAGAGCGAACGCUGGCGGCAGGCCUAACACAUGCAAGUCGAACGGACCCUUCGGGGUUAGUGGCGGACGGGUGAGUAACACGUGGGAACGUGCCCUUUGGUUCGGAACAACACAGGGAAACUUGUGCUAAUACCGGAUAAGCCCUUCGGGGGAAAGAUUUAUUGCCAUUGGAGCGGCCCGCGUUGGAUUAGGUAGUUGGUGAGGUAAAGGCUCACCAAGCCUGCGAUCCAUAGCUGGUCUGAGAGGAUGAUCAGCCACAUUGGGACUGAGACACGGCCCAAACUCCUACGGGAGGCAGCAGUGGGGAAUCUUGCGCAAUGGGCGAAAGCCUGACGCAGCCAUGCCGCGUGAAUGAUGAAGGUCUUAGGAUUGUAAAAUUCUUUCAGCGGGGACGAUAAUGACGGGACCCGCAGAAGAAGCCCCGGCUAACUUCGUGCCAGCAGCCGCGGUAAUACGAAGGGGGCUAGCGUUGCUCGGAAUUACUGGGCGUAAAGGGAGCGUAUGCGGAUAGCUUACUCAGAGGUGAAAGCCCAGGG
Molecule: ribosomal RNA, 553 nt
Filed under: uncultured freshwater bacterium
Lineage: Bacteria
Description: bacterial SSU rRNA
Rfam family: Bacterial small subunit ribosomal RNA
Source: RNAcentral